This is a long non-coding RNA of Fukomys damarensis (Damara mole-rat), 729 nucleotides long. RefSeq lists it as uncharacterized. NCBI's taxonomy places the organism in Eukaryota, Metazoa, Chordata, Mammalia, Rodentia, Bathyergidae. The transcript is spliced from 3 exons. The record is from RefSeq and is a predicted model, not a curated record.
GACGCCCUAUUAACUGUCAGGGUGGCCUCCGCCAAGUCCAUCAUCCUGCCUGAAGUGGUGCUCAGUCUGAGUUAUAAGGCUGCAUCUAGAAAUGGAACUGGAAAAUAGCCUAUCACUGAGUUUAUUUCCCAUGGAAAAAAAGUCAGGAUUAUUUUAGCAAGAAAGGAGGGUGACAGCCAUUAGUCCCUUCCUUUGGAGUAACUGAGGAGCAGGUGGCAGAAGGACUCAGUCAUGGCCUCCUGCUGAUGGUAGCAGAGCUGAAUCUUCACACAGCGUCCUGGACUCUGUGGCCAAGCUUGGGAUCAUGUCAAUCCACAUUCUCCAUCGUGGCUUCCGGGCAGCAUUUUUCCCAAGAUGCUUUGCAAAUUAUGAAGGGCUGAGUAAUCCAAUAAGAGAAAGACUUGCCCUACUUAACCUCUAUCUUGACGAUUCCUUGCGCCCAGUAACAUGUCAGAAUCUCUAAGACCUACGGUAAAGAAUGUGUUUUAUAACAUUGAACUAGUAGUUCCCGAAAUGUAUUUGGACAGCACGUAUUUACCAUCUGGGCCUCUCGAGCUCCACAAAAAAAGCUCUGGCAAUGCUGCCCCAAGCAGGACAGCCCCAGCCACCCCACCGCUGGCACGAGCAUCUGCGAGCAGGUAAUUAGCCCCACACAGGCGCUGUGCUUCUGCUGCGUUCCUCCCCGCCUUCCACUCAGGUGGUGCGAUUCCUUCUCCAGUUAAUGAAGAA